AUCACUCUCUUCACUUUACAAGGGAAACCCUUUCUGAAUAAUUUACCAUGUCUCUGAAAAUGUUUCAAAUUUUGGUGUCUGCUCUGCUGUUUACAGCUUCUGUUUCAAGUGUCCUCGGAGCUCCCUUUCGGACAGAAGAAUCACCAAAUCAAUUCAUAUGGCUGAAACGACACAUCCCAUACUCUCCAAGCUACUGGGACUCAAGCAGCAGCCAGAACACGUGGGGAUACACUGUGGCUGAACAGAUUAGUGAGUCACUGGCAGCUUUGAGAGAAACAGCACAAUACUACAUGGGCUUGGAGCCUUUUGCCUUCGAUCCCUCGCUAGCCGUGUUCGAUGGGGCUUCUCAACAGAGCAUUUUGUAGACUUGGAGCCUGCGUGUACCUCACAACAACAUCAGAUCCUAUAUGGAGCUACUACAGAAGUCUGGGACUCACCUCCACCAAAAAGCUAUUAAAUCCUACACAUCUUGUAUCUGGCCAUUUUAGGAUAUGGCAUGUUAUGUAUUUACCAUUAUGUAUUUGAUAAGAUGACUUUAUCUCAUCCCAUUUGGGUCUAAACCCAAAAUUAAUAGACUAAUUCUCUGCAUAAAUACUGCAUAUUUUAUAUUCAUAAGUAGAACUGAGAUGUAGGUCAUGGUAAAUUGAAUAAGAAAUUGAAGAAAACCAACCAUGAACUUUUAGCAGGUUGGGUUUGAAAAUGCCUAGUAUUUUCAGAUAAAACAUUCUUUUGACUAAACAAUUGUUUGAAGAUGUACAUUCCUGCUUCUGUGACUGAAAACUACGUUUUUAUUUCUCAGUAUUUUCCUUUAGCUACAUGUUUGGGAGGCGAAUGAGAAAUGAAAGUCAGUCACUUUGGAUGGGUGAGAGAAAGAGAGCACAUUUGCUUCAGAUGUACUUCUGUAGUUCAAGGGCAUUUCCCUUUUUUCAAGUAUCAGUAGUAAGUUUUGUAGUACACAUCCAUUCAUGUCAACGUUUCUCCUUCCUCAUUUAAUAUUCUGUACUUGGUUUUCAAUGCCCAAACCAACUGAACCCACAGCUACUACUGUGAAUUGUUUUUUCUUACUCCACAGAGAUAGGAAAUGGUGGAAACAUUCAUGGCUCCUUUCCUAAGAAGCAAAUGGUGGUGACAAAUGUUCUUUAUGCCACAUUCUUGAGCUUGGAGGUUUCCUGGUUCCUAUUCAUUAAUGUACCUUAUUUCAGAACAUCUUUGAAGAGAGGAUUAGGCUUCCAUGUUUCUUUUGUAUGUUAUUAAUAUAAUGCUAAUAAAUAAAAGCUUUUUCAAACUCGGCCAAAAUUUUUGCAUGAAUAAAGAUGAGCUGUUGAGGUAAACAAAAUGGCAGGGGAGGUGAAAGAAGGCAAUUUUUGCUUGCUUUUUAUCCCCAAAGAGCAGAUUCUGCAUGUUGUGCUUUCAGGAUUCUUUAGGAAUAUGUUCUGUACACCAACUGGAACAAAUUGGAAGGUAAUGUUGGGUCUUCUAGAAAGAAAUCCACAUUCUGGCUUUUUGGCAAUCUCUACCAUGCUCCUAGGUAUGAAACUAUCCUUAGGCCAUUAUUAAUUUCCCUGCGUAGGACAAUGGGCCUGAAAUUGCCAUUAUUCAUUAGCUGAAGCUGAAAAUUCAUUAAACAUUUGAAAGAGA
Molecule: non-coding RNA, 1638 nt
Organism: Sturnus vulgaris (Common starling)
Lineage: Eukaryota; Metazoa; Chordata; Aves; Passeriformes; Sturnidae
Source: RefSeq, a predicted model, not a curated record